Molecule: ribosomal RNA, 756 nt
Filed under: Bacillus toyonensis
Lineage: Bacteria; Bacillati; Bacillota; Bacilli; Caryophanales; Bacillaceae
Description: bacterial SSU rRNA
Rfam family: Bacterial small subunit ribosomal RNA
Source: RNAcentral
GGUCUGUAACUGACACUGAGGCGCGAAAGCAAGGCGAGCAAACGGAUUAGAUACCCUGAUAGUCAACGCCGGACGAUGAGUGCUAACUGUAAGAGGGAUUCCGCCCGGGGCUAAUAACGCAUAACACUCCGCAUGGGAAAUAAGGCCGCAAGGCUGAAACUCAAAGGAAUUGACGGGGGCCCGCACAAGCGGUGGAGCAUGUGGUUUAAUUCGAAGCAACGCGAAGAACCUUACCAGGUCUUGACAUCCUCUGAAAACCCUAGAGAUAGGGCUUCUCCUUCGGGAGCAGAGUGACAGGUGGUGCAUGGUUGUCGUCAGCUCGUGUCGUGAGAUGUUGGGUUAAGUCCCGCAACGAGCGCAACCCUUGAUCUUAGUUGCCAUCAUUAAGUUGGGCACUCUAAGGUGACUGCCGGUGACAAACCAGAAAGCCACGGAUAACUAAAUCAGCAGCCCCUAAUACCUAGGCGACAAACGUGAUACAAUGGACGUAAAGAGCGCGCAGGUGGAGCUAAUCUCAUAAAACCGGCUCAACCGUGGAGGCUGAAACUCGCAGACAUGAGUGGAAGAGGAAAGCGGAUCCAUGCCGCGGUGAAUACGUAGAGACAUGGACACACCAGUCACAACACGAGGUCUGUAACACACGAAGUCGGUGGGGUAACCUUUAUGGAGCCAGCCGCCUAAGGUGGGACAGAUGAUUGGGGUGAAGUCGUAACAAGGUAGCCGUAUCGGAAGGUGCGGCUGGAUCACCUCCUUUCU